GAAAAUAUGACUUUUAUAAUAACUCCUAUUUAAUUGUAAAAUAAUGAAAAAAUAAAAUGGACAGUCAUCCAGCUCUUACUCUAAUAGGAGAAAAUUUGACAAUGGCAAAACCCAUCUCCCCUUGUCAAUUAAUUGUCAUUACUAAUGCAACUCAAUCAUUAUUUCAACUGAAAUGUUUAGGCCAUCAACUGAGCGGACAAACAAAGAUGGCGAUACAUCAGAUUGCCUGUUCUUUGUGCUUGAGCUGUGAAUGUCUUAACAACAAAACUCCAUGCCUGCCUUAGCCCUAAAUUAGAUCUCCUCAUAAACAUUUUCAUCUUGAACAGGUGAUGAUGAAUUCCUUGUAUAAAGAGAGCCUGUAUUUACCGUUCCAUCUACCAUAAUCGAUCGAACCAUCUUCUCUAUUUCUUCGUGAAGAUGAGGAUUGUCUCUCAAGUACUGUAAUGCUCUGUCCCUUCCUUGUCCCAAUCUUUGUCAAAACACAAAUGACAAGAAAUGACUAUCAGCCACAAUAUUUUUAGACGGCAUUCAGGCAGCACUGAACUGUUAAAACAUGCAUCAUGAAAAUUUGAAAGCAAGAAAAAAGAAAAUGAUACUUCAUGAGAUAUUAACUGCAAGGAGUAGCCAGAAUAAAAUCUUGAAGACCUAUCAUAUGCAGUUAGAAUAUGAAUCCUCAAGUUCCAACUAUUUCCUGUAAUCAAAGUUUCAGGAAGACAAUGGGUUGUUUUCUUUCUAUGCUGUAGUACUCGCAAAAAAUCUUCUGCAUUCAAGUAAUUUGUUCCAAAUCAGAACUUCAAAGAAUUACAUUGUUCUGGUUGAGGGAACAUUUUUUCCCUAAUCUCCUCCUGUUUUUAGUCAAUUGGAUUAACUAUUUAAUUUAGUUAACCAAGGAAUGCAAUCAAAGUCUAGCUGUUCUAAUAUUUGUCUGGAAUUGGAUUAUGAAUUUUUGACUUGCAUGACUAAAACCUCCCAUGUUACCUUGUACCACUCAAAUAUUAAAAUUGCAUUAAGAAAAACUUGUUUUUGUAAUCUAGAUAUGAAACUAAAUGAAUUGAUCAACAAACAAAAAUAGAAUAUUUCUUAAUGAGAAUAGGCACAAGGUAAAUUUAUAUCUAAAGCCAUUAAUUUUAGAAGUCAACAAAACUAUACUCUGCAGUACAGAUGAGCAUAAUCAAUGACUGCAAACAUAGUAAGAAAGUAGCUGCAUAAGCAGUAGUGCAAAAUCUCAACAAAGAAGAAGAAAAAGGGGAGGAGAAGGAAAAUGAGCAGCAGCAAGAACAAAUAAGUUUAAUUUGCAAAUGCCCAUUGUUCUGUAGACAAACAAAUGCUUAAAAUCAUCUUAAUUGAUGUAAGGUAAGGUAACAUGUUUUAGACAUUUACUCCUAUUGUGGAAAGUCAAUAUUUAUGUUUAG
RNAcentral lists this unclassified non-coding RNA (1412 nucleotides) under Hevea brasiliensis (rubber tree). Lineage: Eukaryota; Viridiplantae; Streptophyta; Magnoliopsida; Malpighiales; Euphorbiaceae. The record is from RNAcentral.